This 253-nucleotide ribosomal RNA is filed under the name uncultured bacterium. RNAcentral's name for it is "partial 16S ribosomal RNA". It matches the Rfam family "Bacterial small subunit ribosomal RNA", at positions 524 to 776 of the family's 1533-position model. The record is from RNAcentral.
UACGAGGGGUGCAAGCGUUGCUCGGAAUUAUUGGGCGUAAAGGGUAGGUAGGUGGUCUCAUUUGUCUGGGGUGAAAGCCUUGAGCUUAACUCAAGAAGUGCCCUAGAAACGGUGAGACUGGAGUCCUGGAGAGGGUCGUGGAAUUCCCGGUGUAGCGGUGAAAUGCGUAGAGAUCGGGAGGAACACCGGUGGCGAAGGCGGGUCUCUGGGCAGUAACUGACGCUGAGGAGCGAAAGCGUGGGGAGCGAACAGG